UGAACCUUAUAAAAGCUUAGAUGCAAUUAUCAUUUUAUCAAAUUGUUCCCUAGAACCAGAUUUAAAGGUCUCAAAAUGAAGAAAUUGAUCUUUCUUUUUCUCCUUUUGACUGCCAUACUACAAAUGACAUCUGCAGGCGCUACAUGGUGUGGUAAUAAUUGUGAUAGUGAUAGUGAGGAGAAAGGCGGCGGUGGUGGUGGAGGAGGAAGAAUUAGCGGUUCUCGUUUUAAGCCUAAGCCUAAGCCUAAUCCUAAGCCUAAGCCUAAACCUGAUUAUGCAAAAUAUGGGAAAAGAAAAUGAAACAGUCUUCAGAAGAGCCUAACAACUGCCUUUUCUAGAUCUCUUGGUUUUAAUUCGAUGAAAUUUUGAAGUAUUAAAUCAUUAAUUAACUGCGAA
Molecule: long non-coding RNA, 396 nt
Organism: Mytilus californianus (California mussel)
Lineage: Eukaryota; Metazoa; Mollusca; Bivalvia; Mytilida; Mytilidae
Exons: 3
Source: RefSeq, a predicted model, not a curated record